This 870-nucleotide long non-coding RNA is filed under the name Triticum aestivum (bread wheat). RNAcentral's name for it is "long non-coding RNA (TAES_LNC001874)". Lineage: Eukaryota; Viridiplantae; Streptophyta; Magnoliopsida; Poales; Poaceae. The record is from RNAcentral.
CACCCUCACACCCACACUCCCACUCUGCUACCGCCUCAUCCAGCUCCUCUCCUCCUGCAAGCUCCUGUAUCCAUCUCAGCUGCAGCUCGAAGCUCGGCCAGGAUGAGCAAGCCAUCGAGGUGCAGGGCGCUGCAGAUGCAGGUCGCCCUGCUCCUCGUCUUGCUCCUCGCGCGCGGGCAAGUGCGCGGUGCGGUGCGCGCGGUCGCGCGCGAAGCGGGGGGCGUGCAUGAAGUACUGCGGGCUGUGCUGCGAGGAGUGCGCCUGCGUGCCCACGGGGAGGAGCGGCAGCCGCGUCGAGUGCCCCUGCUACCGCGACAUGCUCACCGCCGGGCCCAGGAAGAGGCCCAAGUGCCCCUGACCACCGCCCUCUCCUCGGCCCACCGUCUCUCUCAACGCGCCAACGGCUUCUUCAACCUCCACCCUACCGUCAGGAGUAGUAGCCUAGCUACUGUACGUAUGUGAUGUUGGACGCGCGUGCUUAUGUCACUUCCCUGUGCUCGCUCGUGCUAAUUAUUGGUGUGAUGCGUAUUGUCGCCUGCUAAAGUGCUACGUAUGUGUUGUCGUUGUAGUACCACGAUCGACUUGUAGAAGUACUGUGCUACUAGCUGGGAUCGUCGAGUGAGUGAGCUUGCUGGCUGUAAAUCAACAAGUGUGUGGCUACCUGUGUACUCUACGUGGUUGUAGUACGUAGCUAAUUGUUCUCCGUGUGUCUAGCUGAACUGAAGCAGUGUGGCUAGCUGAGGCCUCCGGGCCAUGUAUGUAUGUAUGCCAAUGCCACGUAGCAUGCGCACCGAGCUUACAAGUAGCAAUGGUAAUCAUCAUGUCGCCGUCUUUGUAAGUGCCAUUGUACAUAUGAAUAUGAGGGUAUCA